GCAGAGCGAGCCGCUCCCUCCCGGCCCGGCCCAGGCGGCAGGAGGAGCAGGGCGCGGAGCGCAGACAUGGCGGCCAACAUGUACCGAGUGGGAGAUUAUGUUUAUUUUGAAAACUCCUCAAGCAAUCCAUAUCUGAUCAGGCGAAUAGAAGAACUUAACAAGACUGCUAAUGGCAACGUGGAAGCAAAAGUUGUGUGCUUUUACAGACGACGAGACAUUUCCAACAGCCUUAUAAUGCUUGCAGAUAAACAUGCUAGUA
Chelonoidis abingdonii (Abingdon island giant tortoise) is the source of this 259-nucleotide long non-coding RNA. RefSeq lists it as uncharacterized. Lineage: Eukaryota; Metazoa; Chordata; Testudines; Testudinidae. The record is from RefSeq and is a predicted model, not a curated record.